GACGAACGCUGGCGGCGUGCUUAACACAUGCAAGUCGAACGGAAAGGCCCUGCUUUUGUGGGGUGCUCGAGUUGCGACCGGGUGAGUAACACUUGGGUAACCUGCCCUUGCCUUUGGGAUAACUUCAUGAAACUGAAGCUAAUACCGGCUAGGAGCUCCUGCUGCAUGGUGGGGGUUGGAAGGUUUAGGCGGUUGGGAAUGGACUCGCGGCUUAUCAGCUUGUUGGUGGGGUAGUGGCUUACCAUGGCUUUGACGGGUAGCCGGCGUGAGAGGGUGACCGGCAACAGUGGGACUGAGAUACGGCCCAGACCCCUACGGGAGGCAGCAGUGGGGAAGAUUGCACAAUGGGCGGAAGCCUGAUGCAGCAACGCCGCGUGCGGGAUGACGGCCUUCGGGUUGUAAACCGCUUUCGCCUGUGACGAAGCGUGAGUGACGGUAAUGGGUAAAGAAGCACCGGCUAACUACGUG
This 468-nucleotide ribosomal RNA is filed under the name uncultured bacterium. Its description in RNAcentral is "partial 16S ribosomal RNA". It matches the Rfam family "Bacterial small subunit ribosomal RNA", at positions 28 to 507 of the family's 1533-position model. The record is from RNAcentral.